This 389-nucleotide ribosomal RNA is filed under the name uncultured bacterium. RNAcentral's name for it is "bacterial SSU rRNA". It matches the Rfam family "Bacterial small subunit ribosomal RNA", at positions 29 to 408 of the family's 1533-position model. The record is from RNAcentral.
AAUGAACGCUGGCGGCGCGCCUAAUACAUGCAAGUCGAGCGAGAAGACGUAGCAAUACGUUUGUAAAGCGGCGAACGGGUGAGGAAUACAUGGGUAACCUACCCUCGAGUGGGGAAUAACUAGCCGAAAGGUUAGCUAGUACCGCGUACGCUCCUUGGACUUCGGUUCAGGGAGGAAAGCGAUACCGUGGGUAUCGCGCUCUUGGAUGGGCUCAUGUCCUAUCAGCUUGUUGGNGAGGUAACGGCUCACCAAGGCUUCGACGGGUAGCUGGUCUGAGAGGACAAUCAGCCACACUGGCACUGCGACACGGGCCAGACUCCUACGGGAGGCAGCAGUAAGGAAUAUUGCGCAAUGGGCGAAAGCCUGACGCAGCGACGCCGCGUGGGGGA